UUCCGGCUUAAGGGACGGCGGCCACUUCCCCUCGCUGCCAAAGUCCUGCCGAGGGAAAUGCGAAUAAAGGAAUAAACGUUUUCGCGGGAGAAGCAUCGCCUCAAAUGUCUGUGGGCUUGAAACAUAAAGUGCAGCGAUUUGCUCCUAAUUUCGUACUAGCACCAGAGGUUACAGUUUCAAAAUAAAGGAUGGGCUAUUCAAGGAGAAUGAGAAGAAAUCGUUUUACCCUCAUUGAGCAUUUUCAAGAUGGAGAUACAUAGGUUUUUAGAUAUUGAUAGUGUGGUGAUUUCACACGUCAGAACGUGAUUGGACAGUGUUCGGAACAUGCGCAGAAAUCUGAGAAAGAUCUAGAAACAUCAAGAAGCAUGGCGAUUUCUCUUGGGACCAAAGAUGACUUCCUUCCACACUAAUCCUAUAGAUUUUGAAGUCAAUAUGGAAUCCAAAAGCUUGCUACAGAUGGUCCAGGAGUACUUAAUGAGGUGGACGGAUGCUGUUUGGCCUACAGAAUGUUUCAGCAGUUGCUGUUUGCAAAUAUUCAGGGAAUAACGACAAGAAAAAAAAGUCUGUACACGAGACGCAAGGCAAACGAUGCUCAAGCAACAAGUGCUGGAGAGAGAACUUGCAGGUUUUCCCAAUCCACGGUUGUUUGAAUCCGUGCAUGCGGAACCUGCGGAUAAGGAGGGCCGACUGUACAAUAUUCCAAGUCUCCCCCAGUCUCCAGUGCACCAAAAAAAAUAAUCCAACUUUGACUGUGACUUCUGUGUACCAAAAUGCAACCAAAUACAGAAAUUGAGAAGGUACUGACCAAGAUUUCCCACUCCUCCACAUACUAUGAAGUUGCAGCCUUCUCUCAUUUAUUGAGGACCAAGAAGGUAUGGACAAGGAAAGCACAGGAGCGUUUACAGGACUGCUUUGAAUCGGUGGUCUGGACUGUAUUUAGGGAUUCAUCUUCAAACCUGGAUGAGUAUGCUGCAGUUGUUACCGACUUUAUUAAAACCUGUGUGGAAUACUGCACAUUCCCAAACCAAAAGACAUGGAUGAACCAGGAGGUACGUCAUCUGCUGAAGGCUAGAUCUGUGGCAUUCAAGUCUGAAGACCCAAGCCUGUACCAGAAAACCAGCUAUGAUUUGUGGAGGGCUAUUUCAAGGGUGAAGAGACAAUUUUGAACGUGGUUAAGGUGACAUCGGAUGCACAACAAUUCUGGCAGGGCUUGCAAGAUAUUACUUCCUACAAAGUGAAACCCAAUAGUAUGAAUGGCAGCGAUGCUUCACUACCAGAUGAACUCAAUGGUCUAUGCAUGCUUUGAAAGGGAGAACACAACUACAGCCAUGAGGAUCCCUACUGCACCUGAUGACCCUGUAAUCUCUGUCUCAGAGGCUGAUGUUAGACUGUCUUUAAAGAGGGUGAACCCUUGCAAGGUGGAAGGUCCCGAUGGAGUACCUAGCAAGAUUCUGAAAACUUGUGCCAACCGACUGACAGGAGUAUUCAAGGACAUUUUCAACCUCUCGCUGCUACAGGUGGAAGUUCCCACUUGCUUCAAAAAGGCAACAAUUAUACCAGUGGCUAAGAAUAAUAAUGUGGGCUGCCUUAAUGACUAUCGCCCAGUAGCACUCACAUCGACAGUGAUGAAAUGCUUGAAGAGGUUGGGCAAGGCUAGACUGAACUCUUGCCUUAGCAUGGACCUGGACCUAUGGCAAUUUGCCUAUCACCACAAUAGGUCAACGGAUUAUGCAAUCUCAAUGGCUCUUCACACAGCCUCAGACCACCUGGACAAUACAAACACCAAUGUCAGAAUGCUGUUCAUUGACUAUAGCUCAGUAUUUAACACCAUCAUUCUGAACGGUGUCUCAGAAAGUCAGCAUCCAUUAUUAAGGAUCUUCAGCACUCAGGGCGUGCCCUUUUCUCACCUGAAGGCACACACUCAGUGAUUCAGGAACAGCUUCUUCCCCUCUGCCAUCCGAUUCCUAAAUGGACAUUGAACCUUGGACACUACCUUACUUCUCUUAAACAUAUAGUAUUUCUGUUUUUUGCAUGAUUUUUAAUCUAUUCAAUAUAUGUAUACUGUAUGUAUAAAGUAUACCAAAUAUGAUUUGCAUUAUUAUUAUUAUUAUUGUUGUUGUUGUUGUUGUUAUUAUUAUAUUUUUUCUGCUAGAUUAUGUAUUGCAUUGAACUGCUGCUGCUAAGUUAACAAAUUUCAUGUCACAUGCCGGUGAUAAUAAACCUGAUUCUGAAACUGAAUCUGAAUCAACAAAAUAACAAGGUCAACUUUAUGGCAAGCCAUUGUUCUGCAAAAAAGAACAAAAAUUAUAUGUGGAGUGGAAUAUAAAGAAAAUUAUUUUUAAUAAUGAAACAAGCCAUAAACACUGCUCAACAGUCUCUGUGGUCUGAAAAAAAUUAUUGCGCAGGUGUGGAUAGUCAAUUAUUUCAAGGUUUAAGUUAUUGUACUUUUUAAAACAAUGAUUUCUUUUUGUUCAUGUUAUUUCACCUUUUUAUAUGUAUGUUUUGAUCUUCGUUUUAUUCUAUAAAAUGUCUUAUAAAUAUUAAAUUUUGCUCA
Molecule: long non-coding RNA, 2554 nt
Organism: Hypanus sabinus (Atlantic stingray)
Lineage: Eukaryota; Metazoa; Chordata; Chondrichthyes; Myliobatiformes; Dasyatidae
Exons: 6
Source: RefSeq, a predicted model, not a curated record